Molecule: ribosomal RNA, 319 nt
Filed under: Petasospora fabianii
Lineage: Eukaryota; Fungi; Ascomycota; Saccharomycetes; Phaffomycetales; Wickerhamomycetaceae
Description: eukaryotic LSU rRNA
Rfam family: 5.8S ribosomal RNA (bases 1-109)
Source: RNAcentral
CAGCGAAAUGCGAUACGUAAUGUGAAUUGCAGGUUUUCGUGAAUCAUCGAAUCUUUGAACGCAUAUUGCGCCCUUCGGUAUUCCGAAGGGCAUGCCUGUUUGAGCGUCAUUUCUCUCUCAAACCCUCGGGUUUGGUAUUGAGUGAUACUCUCUUUCUGGGUUAACUUGAAAUACUGUGGCAAGAGCUGCUUUGCAGGAUCUCCUCUGAACUAACGUUUCUAGGUUCUACCAAUUCGUUAUGGACAGUGUGUGCUGAACGCAUGGCUUUUGGGCUCGGCCUAACAAUUUCUUCAUAAGUUUGACCUCAAAUCAGGUAGGA